CGUCCUUUGUGGCCGGCCAACCUCCGGCCGUUGAGCGAUGGUUCGGGCCAACCGGCCGGACCCCGCACUCCUCUGCUUCGGCUGUGACGUGCAGCUCCGUCUGCGCGAGUUUUUAAUACGAGUUUAGCGCGGUCAGCAGCGAGCGAAUGCCCGUGUAAGCUGCGCGCGCGAGACUGCACGGGUCGACGCGAGGACUGGAAUGCGGGCAAGGAAUGGCGCGGGUGUGCGUUGCCGACUGUAGUCUAAAGAGAACGUUCGUGCAGCGCAUGAGCUAGGAACGAAUCGCGGCGACUGAAUCAUUCCGGCCAGCUCUUUGAUAUUAUGAGCUGCAUCUGAAGAGCAUGCAGUGGGAGGGCCUCCUGACCAGUGCUGACCCGGAGGACCAGCGACGACUGGUGGACCGAGCAAGGCGGACAGCCGAGGGCCAUGACAUCCGGAACUAAGGAAGCCACCCACAUGAGAGCGACAUACACAAGGACGCCGUCGUAUCGUUUAAUAAAGUUUGUUUCAACGUCUC
Long non-coding RNA from Dermacentor albipictus, 517 nucleotides. RefSeq lists it as uncharacterized. The record is from RefSeq and is a predicted model, not a curated record. NCBI's taxonomy places the organism in Eukaryota, Metazoa, Arthropoda, Arachnida, Ixodida, Ixodidae.